CCUACUAUAAGACUGGGAUAACUUCGGGAAACCGGAGCUAAUACCGGAUAAUAUAUUGAACCGCAUGGUUCAAUAGUGAAAGACGGUUUUGCUGUCACUUAUAGAUGGAUCCGCGCGCAUUAGCUAGUUGGUAAGGUAACGGCUUACCAAGGCAACGAUGCGUAGCCGACCUGAGAGGGUGAUCGGCCACACUGGAACUGAGACACGGUCCAG
Molecule: ribosomal RNA, 213 nt
Filed under: uncultured Staphylococcus sp.
Lineage: Bacteria; Bacillati; Bacillota; Bacilli; Caryophanales; Staphylococcaceae
Description: partial 16S ribosomal RNA
Rfam family: Bacterial small subunit ribosomal RNA
Source: RNAcentral